GCUUAGGCGACUUUGCUGCUUCUUGCGUGAGUUUGAGAGCAGAUUCUUGGAGAGCAUUGAGCCACCAGCUAAGCCAAGUAACCGAUCGUUAGUAUAGACGUACCACCAAUUGCUCGUUAUGGGACGAUAGCGCAUAUUGAUGUAUCUUUCCAUGACGUGUAUGAUCCCGAUAUCGAGCGGACCUACAUGAGAUAUGAGACUACACUUUGGAUGGAUGAUGGCAGGGUAAACUGGAUUCCUAUUAAGUUUGUUGCGUAGUUUGUAAAUCACGAGGGGGAGCUAUUUGACCCUCUUCAGUUCGGUGCUAGAGGACCUGGAGUCGGGGCAGGAGGUGCUUAGGCGCCUAGAUCGUGGUGAAGCCAGAGAAGACGUCUUUUUUCUUUUUUUUUUAAUUUUUUUAUGGAUGUGGGCUAGUGUGGGGGUAGUGAAGUUAGGAACCCUCUCACCUUUUUCCCCUAGCUGUUUACUUACACUUUUGAUAAGAACGUGUAAAUGUGUUGUACAUAGGUGAAGAGCUUGUAAUUAAUCCAGGUCGAUGUUUGUAAGCCCGAAUGCUUUUUAACUGGAAAGUUAAUGAAGCUCCUCAUGAUCCUUAUAUA
Eucalyptus grandis is the source of this 599-nucleotide long non-coding RNA. RefSeq lists it as uncharacterized. The transcript has 2 exons. NCBI's taxonomy places the organism in Eukaryota, Viridiplantae, Streptophyta, Magnoliopsida, Myrtales, Myrtaceae. The record is from RefSeq and is a predicted model, not a curated record.